Molecule: ribosomal RNA, 485 nt
Filed under: uncultured bacterium
Lineage: Bacteria
Description: partial 16S ribosomal RNA
Rfam family: Bacterial small subunit ribosomal RNA
Source: RNAcentral
GAUGAACGCUGGCGGCGUGCUUAGCACAUGCAAGUCGAACGGUGGACACGGAGCUUGCUCUGUGGGAUCAGUGGCGAACGGGUGAGUAACACGUGAGCAACCUGCCCCUGACUCUGGGAUAAGCGCUGGAAACGGCGUCUAAUACUGGAUACGAGUAGCGGCCGCAUGGUCAGUUACUGGAAAGAUUUUUUGGUUGGGGAUGGGCUCGCGGCCUAUCAGCUUGUUGGUGAGGUAAUGGCUCACCAAGGCGUCGACGGGUAGCCGGCCUGAGAGGGUGACCGGCCACACUGGGACUGAGACACGGCCCAGACUCCUACGGGAGGCAGCAGUGGGGAAUAUUGCACAAUGGGCGAAAGCCUGAUGCAGCAACGCCGCGUGAGGGAUGACGGCCUUCUGGUUGUAAACCUCUUUUAGCAGGGAAGAAGCGAAAGUGACGGUACCUGCAGAAAAAGCGCCGGCUAACUACGUGCCAGCAGCCGCCGUAA